This 506-nucleotide ribosomal RNA is filed under the name uncultured bacterium. RNAcentral describes it as "partial 16S ribosomal RNA". It matches the Rfam family "Bacterial small subunit ribosomal RNA", at positions 28 to 523 of the family's 1533-position model. The record is from RNAcentral.
GAUGAACGCUAGCUACAGGCUUAACACAUGCAAGUCGAGGGGUAACGAGAGGAAAGCUUGCUUUCCUUGUCGACGACCGGCGCACGGGUGAGUAACGCGUAUCCAACCUGCCCCCAACUAAGGAAUAACCUUGCGAAAGUAAGACUAAUACCUUAUAAUUUCCUCAGAUGUCAUCUGACGAGGAAUAAAGAUUUAUCGGUUGUGGAUGGGGAUGCGUCUGAUUAGCUUGUUGGCGGGGUAACGUCCCACCAAGGCAACGAUCAGUAGGGGUGCCGAGAGGAAAGUGCCCCACAGUGGAACUGAUACACGGUCCAAACUCCGACGGGAGGCAGCAGUGAGGAAUAUUGGUCAAUGGGCGGAAGCCUGAACCAGCCAAGUAGCGUGCAGGAUGACGGCCCUAUGGGUUGUAAACUGCUUUUAUACAGGAAUAAAGUUAGCCACGUGUGGUUAUUUGUAGGUACUGUAUGAAUAAGGACCGGCUAAUUCCGUGCCAGCCGCCGCAGUAA